Molecule: ribosomal RNA, 253 nt
Filed under: uncultured bacterium
Lineage: Bacteria
Description: partial 16S ribosomal RNA
Rfam family: Bacterial small subunit ribosomal RNA
Source: RNAcentral
UACGUAGGUGGCAAGCGUUGUCCGGAAUUAUUGGGCGUAAAGAGCGCGCAGGCGGUCGUUCAAGUCGCGUGUGAAAGCCCCCGGCUCAACUGGGGAGGGUCAUUCGAUACUGUUCGACUCGAAGGCAGGAGAGGGAAGUGGAAUUCCCGGUGUAGUGGUGAAAUGCGUAGAUAUCGGGAGGAACACCAGUGGCGAAGGCGACUUCCUGGCCUGUUCUUGACGCUGAGGCGCGAAAGCUAGGGGAGCAAACGGG